UGGGGAGGCAUGUGCGGCUAUUCUGGUGGUGGUGGCUGCGAAGCCGAAUUUGAUGGUGGUGUUGCUGAUAGAGGUGCAGGAAUGGCUUGAUCAGGCUACGGUGCAGCCGAUGGAGGUACAAAAGCAUCCCGGAUCGUCUAAACAGUAAUCGUCAGAUUUUGAACCUACUGAAAGAGUAGGUUGAACUGAUCCACCCUCACCACUGCAGGCUAAGGAGGAAGAGGAGUUUCUGCCAAUGA
This 239-nucleotide long non-coding RNA is filed under the name Elaeis guineensis (African oil palm). RNAcentral's name for it is "long non-coding RNA (EGUI_LNC025352)". The record is from RNAcentral. Lineage: Eukaryota; Viridiplantae; Streptophyta; Magnoliopsida; Arecales; Arecaceae.